AAUUUAUUCUUUAAAGUUGAAGAUAGUAAUAGAUAACAGUAAAGUAAAUCCAUGAAAACGAUACGAUGGAACACAAUGUAAAUACAAAAUCUGAAUAAGUAUAGUAUAAUAGAGACGACAUUUUUGACAGAUUACUGCUGGAGCAAAAAUCAUGAUACGUCGGAUACCAAUGACUUCAUCGGAUCUACCAUUCUAAUGUAAACGAUGGCAGUUCCUUAUUAGACUUUGUUACGCUAUGACUAUUAAUAAGACACAAGGUCAAACAUUCAAAGGUGGCAGUUAUACGUAUCCUGUCCCCAUAUGUGGAAACGAGACGAAAGCAAGGGAAUACUGGAAAGGAGAGGGAGAAAAAAGAUGCAGACUAUGUAAAAGGAAAGAAGAAGACCUGAGACAUGCAAUAGAAGAAUGUGAAAUAACGGGAGAACCAAAGGACAUAGAAAAAACACUAAAUGAGACUGGAGCAGGUCUAACAGAACUAAAAACAAUAAUAGAGAAGAGAAGGGCAAUGUAAGAUGGAGAGGAACGACAGGAAGGAAGCACAGCAAGGAGGCAAAAGCCCAAAGUUGCAAUAGUUUUUAGUCAUUAGUUUUUAGUUUUGGUUUUUAGAGAUAGAAUAAUUAAGGGAGUGCAAUAUAAUAGUGUGGAUAAGAGGAGAGGUAGAUAUAUAAGAAAAGAAUUAGACAUAAUAGAUGUAAAACCGAAAGUUCGUCCAAAGCCGAAAGGCACGGACUAAGUAAAUAGUAAAUAAAUGCUAUUGUGUAUUAAAAUAAUGAGUAACAGUUGAUGCAUGUAAUAUAAUAUUUAAAGGCUCAAGUUCAAAGGUAUUUAUUACUUUUACUUAUUCGAGAUUUAUAUAAGACAGGAGAAAUGUACAAAUUUUUAGUUAUAUGAUGUUAAGGAACGAUAAUACUUGUAAAUUACAAGAAACUCUAAACGUUAAGAAAGAAGAUAUACAUGUACGUAGAUAUACAUAUAUCGUGCAUAUAUAGGAGGCCACAUUUAUCUCUGCCACCCUUUUAAUUUUGUUUCAGUAAUUCAUCUUCCUUGAACUUGUAUCUCAAUAAAUUGCUUGCGGAAUUUUUGACCCAAAUUAUUUUAAGUGAUAUGUUAUGGGACAUUGUAUCUAGUGGUAAACAAAAAAAUAGGCCAUAUAGUUUAAGUGACAUUACUACUAGUAAAAUCUCAGAAAAUAUGACCUUGAAAUGACGUUCACUCUCAUAGUCCAAUUUUCCUCCUAAAAUGUAUGUACAAUAACUUUCUCUUGAAACAUUUUUCUGUAUCGUUACAAACAAGAGAGCAA
RNAcentral lists this unclassified non-coding RNA (1300 nucleotides) under Bombus terrestris (buff-tailed bumblebee). RNAcentral's name for it is "misc RNA ENSBTSG00005035340.1". The record is from RNAcentral. Lineage: Eukaryota; Metazoa; Arthropoda; Insecta; Hymenoptera; Apidae.